UACGUAGGGCGCAAGCGUUAUCCGGAAUUAUUGGGCGUAAAGAGCUCGUAGGCGGUUUGUCGCGUCUGCCGUGAAAGUCCGGGGCUCAACUCCGGAUCUGCGGUGGGUACGGGCAGACUAGAGUGAUGUAGGGGGAGACUGGAAUUCCUGGUGUAGCGGUGAAAUGCGCAGAUAUCGGGAGGAACACCAAUGGCGAAGGCAGCUUGCUGGGACGGUACUGACGCUGAGGCGCGAAAGCGUGGGGAGCAAACAGG
Molecule: ribosomal RNA, 254 nt
Filed under: uncultured bacterium
Lineage: Bacteria
Description: partial 16S ribosomal RNA
Rfam family: Bacterial small subunit ribosomal RNA
Source: RNAcentral